AACGAACGCUGGCGGCAUGCCUAACACAUGCAAGUCGAACGCGUGUAGCAAUACACGAGUGGCGGACGGGUGAGUAACGCGUGGGAACCUGCCCAAUGGUAGGGAAUAACUGCGGGAAACUGCAGCUAAUACCCUAUGCUCCCUACGGGGGAAAGAUUUAUCGCCAUUGGAGGGGCCCGCGUCGGAUUAGCUAGUUGGCGGGGUAACGGCCCACCAAGGCUACGAUCCGUAGCUGGUCUGAGAGGAUGAUCAGCCACACUGGGACCUGAGAUACGGCCCAGACUCCUACGGGAGGCAGCAGUGGGGAAUAUUGGACAAUGGGGGAAACCCUGAUCCAGCAAUGCCGCGUGAGUGAAGAAGGCCUUAGGGUUGUAAAGCUCUUUCGGCGGGACGAUGGUGACGGUACCCGCAGAAGAAGCCCCGGCUAACUUCGUGCCAGCAGCCGCAGUAAU
This 452-nucleotide ribosomal RNA is filed under the name uncultured bacterium. RNAcentral describes it as "bacterial SSU rRNA". It matches the Rfam family "Bacterial small subunit ribosomal RNA", at positions 29 to 524 of the family's 1533-position model. The record is from RNAcentral.